UACGGGGGGGGCAAGCGUUGUUCGGAAUUACUGGGCGUAAAGGGCGCGUAGGCGGCGCAACAAGUCACUUGUGAAAUCUCCGGGCUUAACUCGGAAAGGUCAAGUGAUACUGUUGUGCUAGAGUGCGGAAGGGGCAACUGGAAUUCUCGGUGUAGCGGUGAAAUGCGUAGAUAUCGAGAGGAACACCUGCGGCGAAGGCGGGUUGCUGGGCCGACACUGACGCUGAUGCGCGAAAGCCAGGGGAGCGAACGGG
This 253-nucleotide ribosomal RNA is filed under the name uncultured bacterium. Its description in RNAcentral is "partial 16S ribosomal RNA". It matches the Rfam family "Bacterial small subunit ribosomal RNA", at positions 524 to 776 of the family's 1533-position model. The record is from RNAcentral.